ACAAUCGCCCUUAAGUUUGAUCCUGGCUCAGGAUGAACGCUAGCGGCAGGCCUAACACAUGCAAGUCGAGGGAGAGGUUACCUUCGGGUAACCAAAACCGGCGCACGGGUGCGUAACGCGUAUACAAUCUGCCUUUCACAUAGGGAUAGCCCGAAGAAAUUUGGAUUAAUACCUAAUGGUAUAUAAGAGCGGCAUCGUUUUUAUAUUAAAGCUACGGUGGUGAAAGAUGAGUAUGCGUUCUAUUAGCUAGUUGGAGAGGUAACGGCUCCCCAAGGCGACGAUAGAUAGGGGUUCUGAGAGGGAUGUCCCCCACACUGGUACUGAGAUACGGACCAGACUCCUACGGGAGGCAGCAGUGAGGAAUAUUGGACAAUGGUCGGAAGACUGAUCCAGCCAUGCCGCGUGCAGGAUGAAGGUCCUAUGGAUUGUAAACUGCUUUUGUAAGGGAAGAAUAAGGAGUACGUGUACUUUGAUGACGGUACCUUACGAAUAAGCAUCGGCUAACUCCGUGCCAGCAGCCGCGGUAAUACGGAGGAUGCGAGCGUUAUCCGGAAUCAUUGGGUUUAAAGGGUCCGUAGGCGGGCUGAUAAGUCAGAGGUGAAAGCGCUUAGCUCAACUAAGCAACUGCCUUUGAAACUGUCAGUCUUGAAUGAUUGUGAAGUAGUUGGAAUGUGUAGUGUAGCGGUGAAAUGCUUAGAUAUUACACGGAACACCGAUAGCGAAGGCAUAUUACUAACAAUUUAUUGACGCUGAUGGACGAAGCGUGGGGAGCGAACAGGAUUAGAU
RNAcentral lists this ribosomal RNA (786 nucleotides) under uncultured Flavobacteriales bacterium. RNAcentral's name for it is "bacterial SSU rRNA". It matches the Rfam family "Bacterial small subunit ribosomal RNA", at positions 1 to 783 of the family's 1533-position model. The record is from RNAcentral. Lineage: Bacteria; Pseudomonadati; Bacteroidota; Flavobacteriia; Flavobacteriales.